Molecule: ribosomal RNA, 451 nt
Filed under: Achrysocharoides splendens
Lineage: Eukaryota; Metazoa; Arthropoda; Insecta; Hymenoptera; Eulophidae
Description: eukaryotic LSU rRNA
Source: RNAcentral
CCUGAGAAACCCAAAAGAUCGAAUGGGGAGAUUCAUCGUCAGCGUGGCUGGCUUCCGUGCGGUUCGCGAUGGCCGGGAUCUCGGUCCCGCGUCACGCGUCCGCCGCGGUAUGUCUGGUCGCGUCGGCGUGCACUUCUCCCCUAGUAGGACGUCGCGACCCGUUGGGUGUCGGACCGAUGGCCGUUUGGUCGACUGUCUCGUCGCGUUCACGCGUGCACGCGGCAGACCGAAAUGGUCGAGCGUCCGGCUGCCCGGCGGUAUAGAACGCUAUUGAACGGUAACGAGCCGCACUAAUGCGUUCAGGCUCGUCGGCAGGCUCGUCUCGCCCGGAUUUACGGACCUAGCGCCGUUGCCGGGUGCUUGGCGUGGCCGUUAGUCGACGAUGUCCUCGGACUGGCUCGAAAAUUCGAAAGGAUUACCGGUCGGCGACGCUACUGCUUUGGGUACUUUC